UUGAUCCUGGCUCAGAUUGAACGCUGGCGGCAUGCCUUACACAUGCAAGUCGAACGGCAGCACGGGGGCAACCCUGGUGGCGAGUGGCGAACGGGUGAGUAAUACAUCGGAACGUGUCCUGUAGUGGGGGAUAGCCCGGCGAAAGCCGGAUUAAUACCGCAUACGAUCUACGGAAGAAAGCGGGGGAUCGCAAGACCUCGCGCUAUAGGGGCGGCCGAUGGCAGAUUAGCUAGUUGGUGGGGUAAAGGCCUACCAAGGCGACGAUCUGUAGCUGGUCUGAGAGUGACGACCAGCCACACUGGGACUGAGACACGGCCCAGACUCCUACGGGAGGCAGCAGUGGGGAAUUUUGGACAAUGGGGGAAACCCUGAUCCAGCAAUGCCGCGUGUGUGAAGAAGGCCUUCGGGUUGUAAAGCACUUUUGUCCGGAAAGAAAACUUCUGCCCUAAUACGGUGGGAGGAUGACGGUACCGGAAGAAUAAGCACCGGCAU
RNAcentral lists this ribosomal RNA (492 nucleotides) under bacterium PML114. Its description in RNAcentral is "bacterial SSU rRNA". It matches the Rfam family "Bacterial small subunit ribosomal RNA", at positions 13 to 499 of the family's 1533-position model. The record is from RNAcentral.